GGCACAGUGGUCUAGUGGUAUGAUAUUUGCUAUGUAGUGUACUGCUGAUUGCAGGCAGAGGGCAAGUGACCUGGGUUCAAUUCCCAGUUGAGCCG
Molecule: non-coding RNA, 95 nt
Organism: Terfezia claveryi
Lineage: Eukaryota; Fungi; Ascomycota; Pezizomycetes; Pezizales; Pezizaceae
Source: the annotation of a GenBank genome assembly